AUCACAUUAGUUUAGAAGCUAUUUAAACUUACCUCUCCCUUUACUCCCUGCCCUAUCGUGGUUUCUGUUUCAGUUCCCUUUAGCGCUUGUUGUGUUCAGUUGUGUUUCUUCGUAUUGACUUUGGCUUUGUUUCUGACUACGUUUUCUCUUUAUCCUUAUCUGUUCUGUUUGCCGGCUUGCUGUUUACCGUGUACCAGACCCCGUCUAGUCCUAGUUUACG
Molecule: long non-coding RNA, 220 nt
Filed under: Pelobates cultripes (western spadefoot toad)
Lineage: Eukaryota; Metazoa; Chordata; Amphibia; Anura; Pelobatidae
Source: RNAcentral